Molecule: long non-coding RNA, 1428 nt
Organism: Orcinus orca (killer whale)
Lineage: Eukaryota; Metazoa; Chordata; Mammalia; Artiodactyla; Delphinidae
Exons: 2
Source: RefSeq, a predicted model, not a curated record
CUCAAACUAUCAAUCAAACCUAAGAUCACAAUAAAAAUCUUUCAAAUACAAAACAACUCAUGAAAUUUCUCCCAUGCAUUUUUUCCCCCUCAGGAAGCUACUAGAAGAGGCACUUCAUUAAAGAGAGUAAACCAAGAAAGAGGAAGACAUGGGAACUAGGAAACAGGAGAGCCCACAGGAGAGGAGUAGAAGGAAUUUUCAGGAUAUGGGUGAAAGAUCUAGAGAUGCAGACAUCAUCCUGGAUUAUCUGGGUGGGUCCUAAAUGCAAUGACAAAUGUCCAAAGGGAGCCUGACCCUGUCUUUUGGACUUCUGGCCUCCAGAACUCUGAGAGAAUAAAUUUCUGUUGAUUUAAGCCACUAAAUUUGUGAUAAUUUAUUAGGGCAGAAAUAGGAACCUAGUAUAAUUGGUAGUAUUACAUAACCCAAAUGUCCUAAAAUAGCUAAUUACUAAAUGUCUUAUAUAUAGGAUUAGAUGUUUGGUUUCUUUCUUUCUUUUUUUUUAAAAUAAAUAACUAAAUUAAUUAAUUAAUUUAUUUUUGGCUGCGUUGGGUCUUCGUUGCUGCGUGGGCUUUCUCUAGUUGUGGUGAGCGGGGGCUAUUCUUCUUUGUGGUUCUUGGGCUUCUCAUUGCGGUGGCUUCUCGUGGCAGAGCACAGGCUCUAGGUGAGCAGGCUUCAGUAGUUGUGGCACACGGGCUCGGUAGUUGUGGCUCUCGGGCUCUAGAGCGCAGGCUCCGUAGUUGUAGCACACGGGCUUAGUUGCUCCGCGGCAUGUGGGAUCUUCCUGGACGAGGGAUUGAACACGUGUCCCCUGCAUUGGCAGGGGGAUUCCCAGCACUGCGCAGCCAGGGAAGUCCCAGAUGUUUGGUUUCAAGGAAAAGAAACCAUACAAGCUAACUCAAGCAAAACAGGAUUACUCUAAGAAUGCCAAGCUCAAGGAAUCUAUGGAAAACUAACCAAGCAUCAACACAACCUAGUAACUCACAGAGUACUGCUUUCCUGUCCAGUGGCCAAGUCAGCCAUGGGAAUUCCUCUUCCAAAUUCCCAAGAAAGGGCUUGGAGUGACCCAGCCUGCUGUACUUGCUAUUCACUCUUGGCCCAAUCAAUUUUCUGGGGGUCUUCAAGCAAUUUGUAAUUUGUUUGUCCUUUCUACUAAAUAGAUUUCUGCUGUGGCUUUUAAGUCUCAAAAAAAUUAAUAUGGGGCUUCCCUGGUGGCGCAGUGGUUGAGAGUCUGCCUGCCGACGCAGGGGACACGUGUUCGUGCCCCGGUCCGGGAAGAUCCCACAUGCCGCGGAGCGGCUGGGCCCGUGAGCCAUGGCCACUGAGCCUGCGCGUCUGGAGCCUAUGCUCCACAACGGGAGAGGCCACAACAGUGAGAGGCCCGCGUACCGCAAAAAAAAAAAAAAAAAAAUUUAUGUUUUUCCUUGAAAG